AUACUCAUAAAUCAAAGCUUAAUUCGAUAAAUAUGAUCUAAAUAAAAUUUUUUUUUGAGAUAGGUAGCACGCUAUCCGUUUCGUUUAUUUCAUUUAGAAAUAAACUUAGCUGGAAAUGUAAAUCAACUAGGAUUCGAACUUGGGACCUCGGGUACCAACCACCAAGCCUUUUGCCACUUGCUCUAGAGACGGUCGGUUUGAUCUAAAUAACUAUUGUUCUUCCAACGCUUAAACUAUUAUUUUUCUCACGUUCCAACUCGAGAUAUUAUAAUUAAGUCUCAGACGUGGACUUAAAUUAAUA
This 301-nucleotide long non-coding RNA is filed under the name Ananas comosus (pineapple). RNAcentral describes it as "long non-coding RNA (ACOM_LNC032144)". Lineage: Eukaryota; Viridiplantae; Streptophyta; Magnoliopsida; Poales; Bromeliaceae. The record is from RNAcentral.